UAGCCAAGUCCGGAAGGGAUAAACGCUGAAGGCAUCUAAGCGUGAAGCCCCCCUCAAGAUGAGAUAUCCCAUUCUUAUGAAGUAAACCCCCUUGAAGACGACGAGGUAGAUAGGGCAGAGGUGGAAGUGUGGUAACACAUGGAGCUGACUGUUACUAAUCGGGUGAGGGCUUGACCAA
RNAcentral lists this ribosomal RNA (178 nucleotides) under Blautia fusiformis. RNAcentral's name for it is "partial 23S ribosomal RNA". It matches the Rfam family "Bacterial large subunit ribosomal RNA", at positions 2746 to 2925 of the family's 2925-position model. Lineage: Bacteria; Bacillati; Bacillota; Clostridia; Lachnospirales; Lachnospiraceae. The record is from RNAcentral.